UUGAUCCUGGCUCAGGAUGAACGCUAGCGGCAGGCUUAACACAUGCAAGUCGAGGGGUAGAGUUCUUCGGAACUUGAGACCGGCGCACGGGUGCGUAACGCGUAUGCAAUCUACCUUUUACAGAGGGAUAGCCCAGAGAAAUUUGGAUUAAUACCUCAUAGUAUUAUGACUCGGCAUCGAGAUAUUAUUAAAGUCACAACGGUAAAAGAUGAGCAUGCGUCCCAUUAGCUAGUUGGUAAGGUAACGGCUUACCAAGGCAACGAUGGGUAGGGGUCCUGAGAGGGAGAUCCCCCACACUGGUACUGAGACACGGACCAGACUCCUACGGGAGGCAGCAGUGAGGAAUAUUGGACAAUGGGCGCAAGCCUGAUCCAGCCAUGCCGCGUGCAGGAUGACGGUCCUAUGGAUUGUAAACUGCUUUUGUACAGGAAGAAACACUGGUUCGUGAACCAGCUUGACGGUAUCGUAAGAA
Molecule: ribosomal RNA, 472 nt
Filed under: Flavobacterium sp. DB3.2-11
Lineage: Bacteria; Pseudomonadati; Bacteroidota; Flavobacteriia; Flavobacteriales; Flavobacteriaceae
Description: bacterial SSU rRNA
Rfam family: Bacterial small subunit ribosomal RNA
Source: RNAcentral